AUUGAACGCUGGCGGCAGGCUUAACACAUGCAAGUCGAACGAGUGGCGGACGGGCGAGUAACAUUUAGGUAUCUGCCUGGCAGUUGGGGAUAGCUCGGUGCUACUCGCAUUAAUUCCUCCUACUACUAGUUGCGCCCAAAUCAGAUUAGCUAGUUGGUGGGGUAAAGGCCCACCAAGGCGACGAUCUGUAACUGGUCUGAGAGGAUGAUCAGUCACACCGGAACUGAGACACGGUCCGGACUCCUACGGGAGGCAGCAGUGGGGAAUAUUGGACAAUGGGGGCAACCUGAUCCAGCCAUGCCGCGUGUGUGAAGAAGGCCUUUUGGUUGUAAAGCACUUUAAGCAGGGAGGCGUUACCUGCAGAAUAAGCACCGGCUAACUCUGUGCCAGCAGCCGCGGUAAUUC
Molecule: ribosomal RNA, 405 nt
Filed under: uncultured bacterium
Lineage: Bacteria
Description: partial 16S ribosomal RNA
Rfam family: Bacterial small subunit ribosomal RNA
Source: RNAcentral